GAGUCGGCCGGGUGAUCGCGGUCCUGUUUCUGUCGUCAUCGUAUGUGUUGGCCAACGGUGCAGGAUCGAGGAAAGUCCGGGCUCCAUAGGGCAGGGUGCCAGAUAACGUCUGGGCGGCGCGAGUCGACGGAAAGUGCCACAGAAAAUAUACCGCCAGCCGACACCUUCGGGUGUCGGGUCGGUAAGGGUGAAAAGGUGCGGUAAGAGCGCACCGCGUUGGUGGUAACACGAACGGCAGGGCAAACCCCACCCGGAGCAAGACCAAAUAGGAAUCCGAUGGUGUGGCCCGCACCGGAUUCGGGUAGGUCGCUCGAGGUGCGCGGUGACGUGCACCCAAGAGGAAUGAUCACCCUCGACAGAACCCGGCUUACAGGCUGACUCC
RNAcentral lists this RNase P RNA (382 nucleotides) under marine eukaryotic metagenome. RNAcentral describes it as "Bacterial RNase P class A". It matches the Rfam family "Bacterial RNase P class A". Rfam says of the family: Ribonuclease P (RNase P) is a ubiquitous endoribonuclease, found in archaea, bacteria and eukarya as well as chloroplasts and mitochondria. Its best characterised activity is the generation of mature 5'-ends of tRNAs by cleaving the 5'-leader elements of precursor-tRNAs. Cellular RNase Ps are ribonucleoproteins. The record is from RNAcentral.